This 497-nucleotide ribosomal RNA is filed under the name uncultured bacterium. RNAcentral's name for it is "partial 16S ribosomal RNA". It matches the Rfam family "Bacterial small subunit ribosomal RNA", at positions 28 to 507 of the family's 1533-position model. The record is from RNAcentral.
GAUGAACGCUGGCGGCGUGCCUAAUACAUGCAAGUCGAGCGAACGGACGAGAAGCUUGCUUCUCUGAUGUUAGCGGCGGACGCGGGAGUAACACGUGGAUAACCUACCUCUAAGACUGGGAUAACUUCGGGAAACCGGAGCUAAUACCGGAUGAAUUUUUGAACCGCAUUGUUCAAAAGUGAAAGACGGUCUUGCCGUCACUUAUAGAUUGAUCCGCGCUGCAUUAGCUAGUUGGUAAGGUAACGGCUUACCAAGGCAACGAUGCAUAGCCGACCUGAGAGGGGGAUCGGCCACACUGGAACUGAGACACGGUCCAGACUCCUACGGGAGGCAGCAGUAGGGAAUCUUCCGCAAUGGGCGAAAGCCUGACGGAGCAACGCCGCGUGAGUGAUGAAGGUCUUCGGAUCGUAAAACUCUGUUAUUAGGGAAGAACAUAUGUGUAAGUAACUGUGCACAUCUUGACGGUACCUAAUCAGAAAGCCACGGCUAACUACGUG